UGCCUAAGGCUGCCCAGAGAGCUCAGGUUUAAACCAAGCACCUCUGGAUUAUGCUCUUAACCAUGUCAUACAAAUAGGGUGGGGAAGCUCAGGCCCAAGGAGCAGCUGCAUCCCUCUAGGCCUCUCUAGGCCUCUCUAGGCCCUUGGAAUUCUCCUCAGGCCACACCCUUCAUAGGCCCUGCUUUGCCCCCAAGUGUCUGGCUAGAGUGUGUCGUGGGCCAAGCUCUUUCUUGUUGGAUGGAGGACAGAGGAGGACGUUUGAAUGUGUGCAGAGGCUAGACUAUUCUACAAUGAGGACAUUUACAUUCAUCCCUCCAUCCACUUUUACCUCUGGCCUUGCCCAUCACUGGCAUGCGGCCCUCCAAAGGUGCCCAGUUUUCCACCUGCCUAUACAGGUAAGCUAACACAAUGGCUAUAAAUUGGACAGCGGUAUAGCAGGAGUAGCAGCAGCCCUUACUAACCCUUGCUACACAAGAAAGGCUUGUGGCUUUUGUAACUUAAAACAGACCAACCUCAAUACAGAAUGUUUCCUUUUAGCCAAAACAUCUGCCCCACAAAGAUGCUUUUCUCAGGUCCAGAGCACUUUUGAAAGUGGCAAGUCUACAUUUAAAAUAACAGUUUUUUCUCUUAUGGUUGCAGAAAAGAUUAUGACAAAAGUGAAUGUGCCACAGUCACAUUCUCAAAUGUACCCACUGUGGUCAUAUGCCACCACAUCUAUAGCCAUAGUGGUGUCUAGCCUUUAGCAAGGACCUCCCAGCUAUGAGGUUGAGAGAAUUACCCAUACAAAGCUGCCAGAGGAAAAUGCUAGUAUUUAUUAUUUAUGGAGUACCUACAUCUAAGUUCAGUACAAAAAUGAUAAAGGAGGCCCUGCCCACAAUCUACUUAUCCUCUAGCUAGGCAGCUAUAUGCAUAUUUUGGGGGCAGCGAGUGGAGGAGGAAGACAAGGAGGGAGAUGGACGAGAUUUCACACACUGAUUCAAACUACCAGGCAGAUAUUUUCUUGGAAGCCUCUAUAAUGAUACAAUAUGGUUGCCAAAAUGUUAAGAGAAGAAUGUGUGCCUGAAUGCACAGACAGCAACAUUUACUAUUCUUUUCAUACAAUGGUGCAAUCAGGGCUGGACUUUUGGGCAGAGAUCCAGGGUCUCACUGAGGAGAAUGAGCAGAAAGGCC
Non-coding RNA from Podarcis lilfordi (Lilford's wall lizard), 1170 nucleotides. NCBI's taxonomy places the organism in Eukaryota, Metazoa, Chordata, Lepidosauria, Squamata, Lacertidae. The record is from the annotation of a GenBank genome assembly.